Molecule: ribosomal RNA, 468 nt
Filed under: uncultured bacterium
Lineage: Bacteria
Description: partial 16S ribosomal RNA
Rfam family: Bacterial small subunit ribosomal RNA
Source: RNAcentral
GACGAACGCUGGCGGCGUGCUUAACACAUGCAAGUCGAACGGAAAGGCCCUGCUUUUGUGGGGUGCUCGAGUGGCGAACGGGUGAGUAACACGUGAGUAACCUGCCCUUGACUUUGGGAUAACUUCAGGAAACUGGGGCUAAUACCGGAUAGGAGCUCCUGCUGCAUGGUGGGGGUUGGAAAGUUUCGGCGGUUGGGGAUGGACUCGCGGCUUAUCAGCUUGUUGGUGGGGUAGUGGCUUACCAAGGCUUUGACGGGUAGCCGGCCUGAGAGGGUGACCGGCCACAUUGGGACUGAGCUACGGCCCAGACUCCUACGGGAGGCAGCAGUGGGGAAUAUUGCACAAUGCGCGGAAGCCUGAUGCAGCAACGCCGCGUGCGGGAUGACGGCCUUCGGGUUGUAAACCGCUUUCGCCUGUGACGAAGCGUGAGUGACGGUAAUGGGUAAAGAAGCACCGGCUAACUACGUG